AAAAAACAGCUGGUUGAAGCCCAGAGGAAAUUCCAGAAUCUUAAAAGCCGUUGCUGGAGAGGCUUCAGGCUCGAGGGGGCUGCCGCCCUCACGUUACAGGAAAAAGAAAGUAACUCAACGCGCCGAGAGCUUAAGCCUCACCCGGCAGACGCGGAGCCAGAUCCCGGGCCCAGGGAGCAACGUCCUCAUCCGCAAGCCAGCUCCCGGGGAGAGGAAGCCACGGAGAAGCCAGCCGGCCCCUGGAGCUUCGAGGACCCUCCCUUUCCUCAAGAGAGAGAAUGAGCCAGAGGAGGGCAGAGAGAAGAAGAGAGAGAGAAAAUCCGAAGCAGGCUCAAGACCGUCAGUGCGGAGCCCAACGCGGGGCUCGAACUCCCGAACCCGUGAGGUCAUGACCUGGGCCGAAACCAAGAACUUGAUGCUCAACUGGCUGAGCCGCCCGGGUGUCGCAUGAAGCUCUUCCGACCUCACCCCUACACCCUCGCCACCACCCUCGCUGCGCAUCCCGAGUUUUCAAGAACAUGACCGUAAACAAGGUGAAACUACGCCCCCAAAGACCCCUCCCCCCACCACGGCGAGAAAGCAGAAAGGGGCAGAGCUUCGUACGAAUCCACCCCGUCGCUAGGGACACGGACCGGACUGCCAGGGGCAAACGCUUGGCAAUUACUGCUCCCUGGGCCCCAGAGCCACAUGCACUCCGCGCACGGACCCCCAAGUUCCGGCUUCUUGCCUUUAAACGGCUGAUGGUGGCAAAUACCAAACAAACAAACAAGACAUAAAACGAAAUAAAACGUGUCCUCCCCUACAUUUAUCUCCUUCCACCCCCAAAAGCCCGUGAGGCAAUGCCAUGCUGGCCCCCCCCUCGUACAGAUAAGGAAACCAGGGCCACAGAGCCAGGAAGUCAAGGAAUGGGAAACCACGCAGCUGGAUUGCAGAAGCGGUGACAUUCAUGCCAUCCUGCUCUCCAAACACACCCUGACCAGACGUGCCUCUCCCCACAGCGGCCCAGUGGCACAGCCCCGGGCCUCUCGCAGCACCCCCUCCAGUGCCCACGCGAGGAAGGAAGGAGGGCCCCUGAGUGAGAAGACAGCGUUACCAGUUCGGCAAAGGGUGACAGGGACACCUGUCCUCAUCCAGGGCCCAGGACAUGGCCGUGGUAAGCCCCUCUGUCCUCUGUGGGAAAGUGGCAGGCCGGUGGGCGGGCAGUGUAGACACGGGGUGUGCCAAGAUUGCAACACUCGUCCCCAAGGCCUCCGGGGCCUGCCCUGUUUCUCCGAGCUCUGCUGGAGUGCAGCCUCGUCACAUUAAAAAAAAAAAAAAAAGUCAACCCAAUUCGGGCCACUCCGUCUACAAGAAACGGGAGGAGCAGAGAGGUGCUGGUGGAGGUGAGGGAGUUGGAAAUACAAAUUUCUAUGAGUUGACUCAGUAACUUCCUGCCCUCGGGUCUUUAUAGCAGGACCGGGCCAUGGCUCGCUCGCCUCUGGGAAAACCCCUGGCCCCAAGUCUCCCCUCACCUUGUGUCCACGGUGCCCGAACGUCCGCCGGCACAGACAUUCUCUGCUGACUUUGGCCAUCGUGUUCACAAGCCCCCACUCCCGUAAGCUGUCAGCAGCUACCAACACCUCAGUGUGAACGAGUUGAUUGCUUUGGUUUUCAGCGGGAAGUCUGGGGUGAGAACAGGCUUCUGACCGAAUGGGGCAUUUGAUUAAAAAACAACAACAACAACAAAACAACGAUACAGGAGAUAGCCCUGAUUGGAAUAGGGAGGGUCUGUGGCAGAGGUAAAGCAGAAAGGUCUAGAAAUCACAAAAGAGGAGGAUGUGUAGACUCUGGACAAAUAGGAAUAGCCCUUGUGGUUUACGGUCAAGGGUACAGGCAGGUACGGGAGGAGGUAUCAGGAGCGUGUCUCCCUUUGUCAGCAGCUGUGUGACCUUAGGCAGUCGACCAACCUCUCUGAGCCUCAUCUUGGACAGGAAAGUAUGGCUGUAAACAGGCUAGGGGGCUGGAGCAGAAGGGGUAAUUCAAGAAUUUAGUCUCAUUUCAAAAAGCAUUUACCAGGGACCUCCAGGCACCCAUUUUGUUUUAAAGCCCAGAAGUCUGAGGCACGCCCCCUUGACAGGGACCCACGUAGUGCAGGGCCCAGGGCCAGGCCCUUUACAUGGAUUAUCUCAUUUAAUCU
Long non-coding RNA from Acinonyx jubatus (cheetah), 2176 nucleotides. RefSeq lists it as uncharacterized. The transcript is spliced from 3 exons. Lineage: Eukaryota; Metazoa; Chordata; Mammalia; Carnivora; Felidae. The record is from RefSeq and is a predicted model, not a curated record.